CCUAGUAACGGCGAGUGAAGCGGCAACAGCUCAAAUUUGAAAUCUGGCCUUCGGGUCCGAGUUGUAAUUUGCAGAGGAUGCUUUUGGCGCGGUGCCUUCCGAGUUCCCUGGAACGGGACGCCUUAGAGGGUGAGAGCCCCGUACGGUUGGACACCAAGCCUCUGUAAAGCUCCUUCGACGAGUCGAGUAGUUUGGGAAUGCUGCUCUAAAUGGGAGGUAAAUUUCUUCUAAAGCUAAAUAUUGGCCAGAGACCGAUAGCGCACAAGUAGAGUGAUCGAAAGAUGAAAAGCACUUUGAAAAGAGGGUUAAAUAGCACGUGAAAUUGUUGAAAGGGAAGCGUUUGCGACCAGACCUCUUCAUGGCGGAUCAUCCGGUGUUCUCACCGGUGCACUUCGCCACGUCGAGGCCAGCAUCGGUUUCUGUAGGGGGAUAAAAGCUCUGGGAACGUAGCUCCUCCGGGAGUGUUAUAGCCCUCUGCAUAAUACCUUUACGGGGACCGAGGACCGCGCUUUAUUGCAAGGAUGCUGGCGUAAUGGUCGUCAACGACCCGUCUUGAAACACGGACCAAGGAGUCGAACAUUUAUGCGAGUGUUUGGGUGUUAAACCCUCACGCGUAAUGAAGGUGAACGCAGGUGAGAGCCCUUACGGGUGCAUCAUCGACCGAUCCUGAUGUCUUCGGAUGGAUUUGAGUAAGAGCAUAGCUGUUCGGACCCGAAAGAUGGUGAACUAUGCGUGGAUAGGGUGAAGCCAGAGGAAACUCUGGUGGAGGCUCGCAGCGGUUCUGACGUGCAAAUCGAUCGUCAAAUCUGCGCAUGGGGGCGAAAGACUUAUCGAACCAUCUAGUAGCUGGUUACCGCCGAAGUUUCCCUCAGGAUAGCAGUGUUGUUCUUCAGUUUUAUGAGGUAAAGCGAAUGAUUAGGGACUCGGGGGCGCUUUUUUGCCUUCAUCCAUUCUCAAACUUUAAAUAUGUAAGAAGCCCUUGUUACUUAAUUGAACGUGGGCAUUCGAAUGUACCAACACUAGUGGGCCAUUUUUGGUAAGCAGAACUGGCGAUGCGGGAUGAACCGAACGCGGGGUUAAGGUGCCGGAGUGGACGCUCAUCAGACACCACAAAAGGUGUUAGCACAUUUAGACAAUAGGACGGUGGCCAUGGAAGUCGGAAUCCGCUAAGGACUGUGUAACAACUCACCUAUCGAAUGUGCUAGCCCUGAAAAUGGAUGGCGCUCAAGCGUCCCACCCAUACCUCGCCC
RNAcentral lists this ribosomal RNA (1250 nucleotides) under Rosellinia nectrioides. Its description in RNAcentral is "partial large subunit ribosomal RNA". It matches the Rfam family "Eukaryotic large subunit ribosomal RNA", at positions 79 to 1354 of the family's 3401-position model. Lineage: Eukaryota; Fungi; Ascomycota; Sordariomycetes; Xylariales; Xylariaceae. The record is from RNAcentral.